Molecule: ribosomal RNA, 440 nt
Filed under: uncultured bacterium
Lineage: Bacteria
Description: bacterial SSU rRNA
Rfam family: Bacterial small subunit ribosomal RNA
Source: RNAcentral
ACGCGUGGAACCUUACCAGGUCUUGACAUCCUCUGACACUCCUAGAGAUAGGACGUUCCCCUUCGGGGGACAGAGUGACAGGUGGUGCAUGGUUGUCGUCAGCUCGUGUCGUGAGAUGUUGGGUUAAGUCCCGCAACGAGCGCAACCCUUGUUCUUAGUUGCCAUCAUUUAGUUGGGCACUCUAAGGAGACUGCCGGUGACAAACCGGAGGAAGGUGGGGAUGACGUCAAAUCAUCAUGCCCCUUAUGACCUGGGCUACACACGUGCUACAAUGGGUGGUACAAAGGGCAGCAAAGCGGCGACGCCAGAGCCAAUCCCAUAAAACCACUCUCAGUUCGGAUUGUAGGCUGCAACUCGCCUACAUGAAGCUGGAAUCGCUAGUAAUCGCGGAUCAGCAUGCCGCGGUGAAUACGUUCCCGGGCCUUGUACACACCGCCCGU